This 24-nucleotide non-coding RNA is filed under the name Rattus norvegicus (Norway rat). The record is from RNAcentral. Lineage: Eukaryota; Metazoa; Chordata; Mammalia; Rodentia; Muridae.
UGAAUGGUCCUCAAGAGAACUCGA